RNAcentral lists this small nucleolar RNA (138 nucleotides) under Bombyx mori (domestic silkworm). Its description in RNAcentral is "Bm_66". The record is from RNAcentral. Lineage: Eukaryota; Metazoa; Arthropoda; Insecta; Lepidoptera; Bombycidae.
AGUUUGAUUGACACAGUUAAAAUUUGAUUUUGGUCAAAAAAUACCAUAAUCAAUACAGUCAAUCAUACAUUAAACAUGUGAAAGUUUGAAGCCACUAGUACAAGAAGCUGGUCGGUUUUCGCGCUUUCAUACACAUUU